UAGGCUAACACUUUGCCACUGGCUGCUUAGUCAUUACUUUAAAAAACAAAAACUUAUAUUUAAUUAACAAAAAUAGCUUCAAAGGCUUUUCUAAAGUAACUUAAUAAAAAAUAAACAAAAGAUAAUUGUCACGGGGUGACAAAAGAGAAGCGGAACUAAGUCCCGCCGGAAUUUUGUGUUCCCCUCGGGACGGUGUCGCGGUAACACCGGUCCACUUCCGGGUUGCGCCCGAUGUCACAAUAACAACGCUAAUGACAGAUUGACAUCUGGUGUGGGGAGUUUGAUGUGGCGAUCUGUGAGAGGAUUAUGGAGGCGGAGUAACCACAUAAAAAGAGAAGUGCAGAGACCAUGCGUGGUGGAUUCUAUUUGGUCGUUCGUUCUCCCGGCUAUUCUUCCUGGUUGGCUUGCCCCCGUGUGUGGCUCUUCUCUUUGGAUGUGUUCCCCUAGGAGAGGUGAAUUCCUGGGACGUUUGGGCUGGCGUGUGGAGGUAUUUGAGGACUAUUGUGGGGUUUCGGCUAUCUGGCUGUGCAACAGAUAUAUCAGCGAUCGAGUGGAGAUAUUCAGGACAGAAAGAGUGUGAGUUCUGGAAAGCAAGUGAAGACCAGGCCGCGCCAUCGCUAUCGGAGGGAAGUUAAGAGACCUGAUCUGGGACUUCGAUCAAUUGUAUACAUCUGGACUGGGAGUGAUAACGUGUGAAGUGGACGGAGCCAUCGUUGGAUCGCAGGAUCCUCUGGGCCGAACGCCGCAUGUGAUGUCCCUAUGAAAGGAGGUGGACACAAGAAUUAUUCCUUUCCCGGUCACAACCGAAGCAUCUCCCAGCCGUAAGCCCCACUACUUAUUCAAGAACACAUACUUACUGUUGAUUACUUACUCUGCUGUGCAGAUCGCAGGAUCCUCUGGGCCGAACGCCGCAUGUGAUGUCCCUAUGAAAAGAGGUGGACACAAGAAUUAUUCCUUUCCCGGUCACAACCGAAGCAUCUCCCAGCCGUAAGCCCCAUUACUUAUGCAAGAACACAUACUUGCUGUUGAUUACUUACUCUGCUGUGCAGAUCGCAGGAUCCUCUGGGCCGAAUGCUGUAUGUGAUGUCCCUGUAGAAAGAGGUGGACACACAAAUUAUUCCUUUCCCGGUCUUAACCGAAGCAUCUCCCAGCCGUAAGCCCCACUACUUAUUCAAGAACACAUACUUACUGUUGAUUACUUACUCUGCUGUGCAGAUCGCAGGAUCCUCUGGGCCGAACGCCGCAUGUGAUGUCCCUAUGAAAAGAGGUGGACACAAGAAUUAUUCCUUUCCCGGUCACAACCGAAGCAUCUCCCAGCCGUAAGCCCCAUUACUUAUGCAAGAACACAUACUUGCUGUUGAUUACUUACUCUGCUGUGCAGAUCGCAGGAUCCUCUGGGCCGAAUGCUGUAUGUGAUGUCCCUGUAGAAAGAGGUGGACACACGAAUUAUUCCUUUCCCGGUCUUAACCGAAGCAUCUCCCAGCCGUAAGCCCCACUACUUAUUCAAGAACACAUACUUACUGUUGAUUACUUACUCUGCUGUGCAGAUCGCAGGAUCCUCUGGGCCGAACGCCGCAUGUGAUGUCCCUGUAGAAAGAGGUGGACACACAAAUUAUUCCUUUCCCGGUCUUAACCGAAGCAUCUCCCAGCCGUAAGCCCCAUUACUUAUUCAAGGACACAUACUUACUGUUGAUUACUUACCCCGCUGUGCAGAUCGCAGGAUUCUCUGGGCCGAAUGCUGCAUGUGAUGUCCCUGUAGAAGGAGGUGGACACGAGAAUUAUUCCUUUUCCCGGUCUCGACCGAAACAUCCACGAGCUCUACUUACCCGGAUACCCCCCCCUCACUCCGGGACGGGUGACAGACUAUCCUGGCUCUUGCUGGCCCCGUACAGGCACGAACUGCCGACGACUCCACGCCUUCCCGGCGUCCGAGGUCUGGCUCCGUUCUGGUCGGGAGACACGGAAGGAACACUGAACUUUUAAAUUGCUUUUAACCAAAUAAAACCUUGUUCAUUUUUUUA
Carassius gibelio (silver crucian carp) is the source of this 2021-nucleotide long non-coding RNA. RefSeq lists it as uncharacterized. Lineage: Eukaryota; Metazoa; Chordata; Actinopteri; Cypriniformes; Cyprinidae. The transcript is spliced from 2 exons. The record is from RefSeq and is a predicted model, not a curated record.